Molecule: ribosomal RNA, 450 nt
Filed under: uncultured bacterium
Lineage: Bacteria
Description: partial 16S ribosomal RNA
Rfam family: Bacterial small subunit ribosomal RNA
Source: RNAcentral
GUGGGGAAUAUUGGACAAUGGGCGAAAGCCUGAUCCAGCCAUGCCGCGUGUGUGAAGAAGGUCUUCGGAUUGUAAAGCACUUUAAGUUGGGAGGAAGGGCAGUAAGUUAAUACCUUGCUGUUUUGACGUUACCAACAGAAUAAGCACCGGCUAACUUCGUGCCAGCAGCCGCGGUAAUACGAAGGGUGCAAGCGUUAAUCGGAAUUACUGGGCGUAAAGCGCGCGUAGGUGGUUUUGUAAGUUGGAGGUGAAAUCCCCGGGCUCAAGCUGGGAACUGCCUCCAAAACUGCAUGACUAGAGUACGGUAGAGGGUAGUGGAAUUUCCUGUGUAGCGGUGAAAUGCGUAGAUAUAGGAAGGAACACCAGUGGCGAAGGCGACUACCUGGACUGAUACUGACACUGAGGUGCGAAAGCGUGGGGAGCAAACAGGAUUAGAAACCCCGGUAGUCC